GGGUUGUGAGGUUAAGCGACUAAGCGUACACGGUGGAUGCCCUGGCAGUCAGAGGCGAUGAAGGACGUGCUAAUCUGCGAUAAGCGUCGGUAAGGUGAUAUGAACCGUUAUAACCGGCGAUUUCCGAAUGGGGAAACCCAGUGUGAUUCGUCACACUAUCAUUACGUGAAUACAUAGCGUAAUGAAGCGAACCGGGGGAACUGAAACAUCUAAGUACCCCGAGGAAAAGAAAUCAACCGAGAUUCCCCCAGUAGCGGCGAGCGAACGGGGAGCAGCCCAGAGUCUGAAUCAGCUUGUGUGUUAGUGGAACGGUCUGGAAAGUCCGACGGUACAGGGUGAUAGUCCCGUACACCAAAAUGCACAGGUUGUGAACUCGAAGAGUAGGGCGGGACACGUGGUAUCCUGUCUGAAUAUGGGGACCAUCCUCCAAGGCUAAAUACUCCUGACUGACCGAUAGUGAACCAGUACCGUGAGGGAAAGGCGAAAAGAACCCCGGCGAGGGGAGUGAAAAAGAACCUGAAACCGUGUACGUACAAGCAGUGGGAGCCUCUUUAUGGGGUGACUGCGUACCUUUUGUAUAAUGGGUCAGCGACUUAUAUUCUGUAGCAAGGUUAACCGUAUAGGGGAGCCGAAGGGAAACCGAGUCUUAACUGGGCGUUAAGUUGCAGGGUAUAGACCCGAAACCCGGUGAUUCAGCCAUGGGCAGGUUGAAGGUUGGGUAACACUAACUGGAGGACCGAACCGACUAAUGUUGAAAAAUUAGCGGAUGACUUGUGGCUGGGGGUGAAAGGCCAAUCAAACCGGGAGAUAGCUGGUUCUCCCCGAAAGCUAUUUAGGUAGCGCCUCGUGAAUUCAUCUUCGGGGGUAGAGCACUGUUUCGGCUAGGGGGUCAUCCCGACUUACCAACCCGAUGCAAACUGCGAAUACCGAAGAAUGUUAUCACGGGAGACACACGGCGGGUGCUAACGUCCGUCGUGAAGAGGGAAACAACCCAGACCGCCAGCUAAGGUCCCAAAGUCAUGGUUAAGUGGGAAACGAUGUGGGAAGGCACAGACAGCCAGGAUGUUGGCUUAGAAGCAGCCAUCAUUUAAAGAAAGCGUAAUAGCUCACUGGUCGAGUCGGCCUGCGCGGAAGAUGUAACGGGGCUAAACCAUGCACCGAAGCUGCGGCAGCGACACUAUGUGUUGUUGGGUAGGGGAGCGUUCUGUAAGCCGUUGAAGGUGUAUCGUGAGGUAUGCUGGAGGUAUCAGAAGUGCGAAUGCUGACAUAAGUAACGAUAAUGCGGGUGAAAAACCCGCACGCCGGAAGACCAAGGGUUCCUGUCCAACGUUAAUCGGGGCAGGGUGAGUCGACCCCUAAGGCGAGGCCGAAAGGCGUAGUCGAUGGGAAACAGGUUAAUAUUCCUGUACUUGGUGUUACUGCGAAGGGGGGACGGAGAAGGCUAUGUUAGCCGGGCGACGGUUGUCCCGGUUUAAGCAUGUAGGCGGAGGUUCCGGUAAAUCCGGUACCUUUUAACGCUGAGGUGUGAUGACGAGGCACUACGGUGCUGAAGUAACAAAUGCCCUGCUUCCGGGAAAAGCCUCUAAGCAUCAGGUAACACGAAAUCGUACCCCAAACCGACACAGGUGGUCAGGUAGAGAAUACCAAGGCGCUUGAGAGAACUCGGGUGAAGGAACUAGGCAAAAUGGUGCCGUAACUUCGGGAGAAGGCACGCUGAUAUGUAGGUGAAGUGAUUUACUCAUGGAGCUGAAAUCAGUCGAAGAUACCAGCUGGCUGCAACUGUUUAUUAAAAACACAGCACUGUGCAAACACGAAAGUGGACGUAUACGGUGUGACGCCUGCCCGGUGCCGGAAGGUUAAUUGAUGGGGUUAUCCGUAAGGAGAAGCUCUUGAUCGAAGCCCCGGUAAACGGCGGCCGUAACUAUAACGGUCCUAAGGUAGCGAAAUUCCUUGUCGGGUAAGUUCCGACCUGCACGAAUGGCGUAAUGAUGGCGGGCUGUCUCCACCCGAGACUCAGUGAAAUUGAACUCGCUGUGAAGAUGCAGUGUACCCGCGGCAAGACGGAAAGACCCCGUGAACCUUUACUAUAGCUUGACACUGAACACUGGUCCUUGAUGUGUAGGAUAGGUGGGAGGCUUUGAAGUGUGGACGCCAGUCUGCAUGGAGCCAUCCUUGAAAUACCACCCUUUAAUGGCUGGUGUUCUAACGUGGACCCGUAAUCCGGGUUGCGGACAGUGUCUGGUGGGUAGUUUGACUGGGGCGGUCUCCUCCUAAAGAGUAACGGAGGAGCACGAAGGUUAGCUAAUCCUGGUCGGACAUCAGGAGGUUAGUGCAAAGGCAUAAGCUAGCUUGACUGCGAGAGUGACGGCUCGAGCAGGUGCGAAAGCAGGUCUUAGUGAUCCGGUGGUUCUGAAUGGAAGGGCCAUCGCUCAACGGAUAAAAGGUACUCCGGGGAUAACAGGCUGAUACCGCCCAAGAGUUCAUAUCGACGGCGGUGUUUGGCACCUCGAUGUCGGCUCAUCACAUCCUGGGGCUGAAGUAGGUCCCAAGGGUAUGGCUGUUCGCCAUUUAAAGUGGUACGCGAGCUGGGUUUAGAACGUCGUGAGACAGUUCGGUCCCUAUCUGCCGUGGGCGCUGGAGAAUUGAGGGGGGCUGCUCCUAGUACGAGAGGACCGGAGUGGACGCAUCACUGGUGUUCGGGUUGUCAUGCCAAUGGCAUUGCCCGGUAGCUAAAUGCGGAAGAGAUAAGUGCUGAAAGCAUCUAAGCACGAAACUUGCCCCGAGAUGAGUUCUCCCUGAGACUUUAAGUCUCCUGAAGGAACGUUGAAGACGACGACGUUGAUAGGUCGGGUGUGUAAGUGUAGCGAUACAUUGAGCUAACCGAUACUAAUGAACCGUGAGGCUUAACCUUACAACGCCGAAG
Molecule: ribosomal RNA, 2923 nt
Filed under: Citrobacter freundii
Lineage: Bacteria; Pseudomonadati; Pseudomonadota; Gammaproteobacteria; Enterobacterales; Enterobacteriaceae
Description: 23S ribosomal RNA
Rfam family: Bacterial large subunit ribosomal RNA
Source: RNAcentral